This 74-nucleotide transfer RNA is filed under the name Haloquadratum walsbyi. It matches the Rfam family "tRNA". Rfam says of the family: Transfer RNA (tRNA) molecules are approximately 80 nucleotides in length. Their secondary structure includes four short double-helical elements and three loops (D, anti-codon, and T loops). Further hydrogen bonds mediate the characteristic L-shaped molecular structure. tRNAs have two regions of fundamental functional importance: the anti-codon, which is responsible for specific mRNA codon recognition, and the 3' end, to which the tRNAs corresponding amino acid is attached (by aminoacyl-tRNA synthetases). tRNAs cope with the degeneracy of the genetic code in two manners: having more than one tRNA (with a specific anti-codon) for a particular amino acid; and 'wobble' base-pairing, i.e. permitting non-standard base-pairing at the 3rd anti-codon position. Lineage: Archaea; Methanobacteriati; Methanobacteriota; Halobacteria; Halobacteriales; Haloferacaceae. The record is from Rfam by way of RNAcentral. RNAcentral also lists the same sequence under 3 other names.
GGGCGCGUAGCUCAGUUGGACAGAGCGUCGGACUUCUAAUCCGACGGUCGCGGGUUCGAAUCCCGUCGCGCCCG